This 552-nucleotide ribosomal RNA is filed under the name uncultured bacterium. RNAcentral describes it as "bacterial SSU rRNA". It matches the Rfam family "Bacterial small subunit ribosomal RNA", at positions 355 to 897 of the family's 1533-position model. The record is from RNAcentral.
UGGGGAAUAUUGUUACAAUGGGCGAAAGCCUGAUCCAGCCAUGCCGCGUGUGUGAAGAAGGUCUUCGGAUUGUAAAGCACUUUAAGUUGGGAGGAAGGGCAGUAAGUUAAUACCUUGCUGUUUUGACGUUACCAAUAGAAUAAGCACCGGCUAACUUCGUGCCAGCAGCCGCGGUAAUACGAAGGGUGCAAGCGUUAAUCGGAAUUACUGGGCGUAAAGCGCGCGUAGGUGGUUCAGCAAGUUGGAUGUGAAAUCCCCGGGCUCAACCUGGGAACUGCAUCCAAAACUACUGAGCUAGAGUACGGUAGAGGGUGGUGGAAUUUCCUGUGUAGCGGUGAAAUGCGUAGAUAUAGGAAGGAACACCAGUGGCGAAGGCGACCACCUGGACUGAUACUGACACUGAGGUGCGAAAGCGNGGGGAGCAAACAGGAUUAGAUACCCUGGUAGUCCACGCCGUAAACGAUGUCGACUAGCCGUUGGGAUCCUUGAGAUCUUAGUGGCGCAGCUAACGCGAUAAAGUCGACCGCCUGGGGAGUACGGCCGCAAGGUUAA